UCUGAAGGAAAGAACAAACAGCUGAGUUACCUGGAUGCUCAUGUCUGAUGUAACAGUUCAACAGGUGAUACGACACAUGUUCACCAAGGUCUUUUACUAAAUCCCCUCUCACACCGAGUGAUCUCAGCUAUUUUAUUCCUCACAGUUUCAGUACCUUCCAGAAUGAGCUGUUUCACAGCCCUGUCACUUCAUGUAAAUAAACUGUUGCUUGCCACACCCACCCACUCCCUGAUUGGCUGCUAUAAGAUGAGAAGCUUGGAUAUCUGGGAGGGAUGACGGAAGUGAUGCCACCAACAUCGGUGAUACUCUGACGAAGGUGACAGCAGUAGCUGAAACUGUCAGCAAGAAGAAACCCUGUAGGUCUUACCGGAGAGCUUCCAGUCUCUCCAGGCCAGCUGUCACCAACAUCAGGCCAGCGUCUCCUGGAUGGUUGUAGCUCAGGUCCAGCUUUCUCAAACGGGACAGGCUGGAGCUCAGAGCUGAGGUCAGAGAUGCACAGCCACCUUCUGUGAUCAGACAUCCAGACAAGCUACAACAAAGGCAAAAUCAUUAUCGACUGCUCUAACCCGAAUCCUGGCUGCAGCAAGAGGACCAGUGUUGGGAGUAAUGCGGUACAGAACACCCAACCCUAGUAUACAAUCCUGGAAGGACGGGUGGGUGGAUGGAUAAGUACGAAGCUUGAGUGAAAUCUUACUGCUCUGAAGAUGUUCAGCCAUCUUGUCCUGCUUCAUCCUCCUGAGAAAGUGCUGCAUGACCUUCAGAAAUGCUUCUCUAGCGCUCAGCUGGUCUUCAUCCUCACACUCCAUCAUCUUCUCAUGAACCGUCUCACUCUCUGAGGAAACUGGGUCAUCUGGACUAAGAACCUUCUGGAUCAUCUUCAGUUCAUUCUUUACAAAAGUAACAAUGUUGUCCUCCAGCAUCUGGAGAAGAAUAAUAAAUAGAAUGACUUAUCACCAUGACAACCCACUGGACCACAGAGUGAAGCCUGGAGGUGACUGUAAACACAACAAUGUAAGAAGUAGUUGAUAUUAUACAGACCACAAAUAAAGAUUCCACGUGGGUUUGGUGCUGUGGUGCAGACGGAUAACUGUGGACCUCUGA
Molecule: non-coding RNA, 1101 nt
Organism: Nothobranchius furzeri (turquoise killifish)
Lineage: Eukaryota; Metazoa; Chordata; Actinopteri; Cyprinodontiformes; Nothobranchiidae
Source: RefSeq, a predicted model, not a curated record